GACGGUAUAGCUCAGGGGUAGAGUGUUUGCCUAGUAUGCACGAGGCCCUGAGUUUGAUUCCCAGCACCACCU
This 72-nucleotide transfer RNA is filed under the name Heterocephalus glaber (naked mole-rat). It matches the Rfam family "tRNA". From Rfam's summary of the family: Transfer RNA (tRNA) molecules are approximately 80 nucleotides in length. Their secondary structure includes four short double-helical elements and three loops (D, anti-codon, and T loops). The record is from Rfam by way of RNAcentral. Lineage: Eukaryota; Metazoa; Chordata; Mammalia; Rodentia; Bathyergidae.